Molecule: ribosomal RNA, 484 nt
Filed under: uncultured bacterium
Lineage: Bacteria
Description: partial 16S ribosomal RNA
Rfam family: Bacterial small subunit ribosomal RNA
Source: RNAcentral
AUUGAACGCUGGCGGCAGGCCUAACACAUGCAAGUCGAGCGGAUGAAGGGAGCUUGCUCCUGGAUUCAGCGGCGGACGGGUGAGUAAUGCCUAGGAAUCUGCCUGGUAGAGGGGGAUAACGUCCGGAAACGGGCGCUAAUACCGCAUACGUCCUGAGGGAGAAAGUGGGGGUUCUUCGGACCUCACGCUAUCAGAUGAGCCUAGGUCGGAUUAGCUAGUUGGUGGGGUAAAGGCCUACCAAGGCGACGAUCCGUAACUGGUCUGAGAGGAUGAUCAGUCACACUGGAACUGAGACACGGUCCAGACUCCUACGGGAGGCAGCAGUGGGGAAUUUUGGACAAUGGGCGAAAGCCUGAUCCAGCCAUGCCGCGUGUGUGAAGAAGGUCUUCGGAUUGUAAAGCACUUUAAGUUGGGAGGAAGGGCAGUAAGUUAAUACCUUGCUAUUUUGACGUUACCAACAGAAUAAGCACCGGCUAACUUCGUG